GCUGGGAAGGGCAGGGAGGCACGGGGAGGGAGGAGCAGUGAUGGCCAGUGGGAAGAGCCGCAGGAGGCCGAGGCGGUGAGUAUGAGGGCGGCCAGUGAGCCGGAGGUCUGCUGGGGACCCCAUGGGCUCUGGGAGGGUUGACCACGCAGGGUGCGGAUAUGUGCGCCAGGCAGCUGCUUGGAGUCCUGGAGUGCACAUGCUCACUCUGCCACUCAGAGCCUGCCUUCCUCAGGUCAACCUGAAAGUCAAGAAAGAAAAGAAAACGCCGAGCCCGCCUGGGGGAGUCGACCUUCACAAGUUGAGGAAAGGCACCUCCUGGGGAAGGUGCAGGUGGAGAGACAGGGCUCCGGCCCAGGGGCAGCCCAGGGGACAGAGGGGACUCCAGACCAGUCGGACCAUGGCUCCCUGCCUGGGAGCUCCAGUGCCCAGGCUGGGAUCAGAGUGCAGGACAGGGGUCAUCUGAUCUGCCACUGGAAGCUGAAUUCUGCCCCAAGUGGCUUCUUAAAUUAGCAGGUUUUAUUUUAAGAGGAGUUUAAACUCAAGGGGAAAUUCAGCCAGAGUGCACAGUUCCUGCACACCCUCCACCUCCUGCCCACUGCCUGGCGCUCGCCUGACUCCUUGCAACGGAGGAGCCACACUGACCGGUCCGCACCACAUGGUGUCCACAGUGUGCGUCAGGGUCCCCUCCUUGUGUGCACUCUGUAGCUGUCUGCACCCUGGGGAGCCCAUGACCCCAGGGCAGGGUCUGAGGCCACCGGCAGGACCCUCCCUUCCCACUUGGUGGCUCUGCCUGCCUAUUUAGGGUGUCACUCCACACGCCUCGUGUCCUCAGGCCUGGCAGGAGCCUCCUGGAGUCAGCGUCCCCUGGACUCCCCUCCCAGCCCAGGCCUCAGCUUGGGCAGCUCUGCCUCCGGCCAGAACACCUUGCGCUACCCCACCCCAGCCAGAGUAGGGUGUUCACUCCAGGCCUCUGAGAGUGGAGUGGCCCAGGGCUCAGGGGGGUGUGAGGCUACUCACUGUCCUUGCCCGACUCCCCUCAAGGAGAGAGGCACACAUUCUGCCCGUGGCAAAGUGGACCUGGCAUCCACAAAAUCCAGCUAAUCAACUGGCAAUUUCCUUACACCCAGGUUUUCAGUGAGUGCUGGUCAGUCACAGGAUGGUUUUGUGCUGUCAUCUAUGGGCGAAGGCGGGGCAGUUGGCCGAGCCUCAGGGGACCGGGGCUCUGGGGACAGAAAGGGGCCGUCGUUGAGUGGAGGAGGUGGGCUUCCAGGUGUGGGUCCAGCAGCAGCUCCACGCCUCCACACUCUAAAAAACUCCAUCUUAACAUUAGGGCCGCCAACUGCUCCCUGACAGAGGGGAAAGUGGAAGAGCAGGGAGAUGGAGUGGCUGACCAGUCCUCUCCUGAGACAGGCUGGACACUGCAGGCCCAGGCCCAGCAGCAGCAGCAGUGUAUUGUCGACUGCCCCAUGUCCUGCCUCUGGACUGUAAGAGAUGACCUGCGUCGUCCGAAGGCUGCCUUCCUGAGGACAGGAAGUCGCAGCUCAGGGAGUCGGAGCCGCAGCUCAGAGCUGGCGUGAUUCAGAACGAGAUCUCGUUCCUGAAAGGAAAAGAACUUCUGCAGUUCCUCAUCAGCUCAUCCGUUCCCGUGAUUUUUCCGAGAGAUCAGUGUUGUGUCUUAGGGUAGAACAUCCGCGGACUCUA
Ictidomys tridecemlineatus (thirteen-lined ground squirrel) is the source of this 1701-nucleotide non-coding RNA. The record is from RefSeq and is a predicted model, not a curated record. NCBI's taxonomy places the organism in Eukaryota, Metazoa, Chordata, Mammalia, Rodentia, Sciuridae.